Long non-coding RNA from Drosophila biarmipes, 438 nucleotides. RefSeq lists it as uncharacterized. The record is from RefSeq and is a predicted model, not a curated record. NCBI's taxonomy places the organism in Eukaryota, Metazoa, Arthropoda, Insecta, Diptera, Drosophilidae. The transcript has 3 exons.
UCAAAAAUUAUAUUCAGACUAAGAAGUCUAAUAAAUUUAAAAUAAAAAAAUAUUUAACAGAGUGUUUUUGUGCCGGCCCCCCGCUCCGCGCCGGAAAAACCAAACUACAUAAGUUGCAGAUACCGAAGGAGAUGGGCAUAGAAUAGCCCCCAAGCCCCACCCAGUUUUCCUUGGAAAAACAGCCGUGCGAAGGUAGAGACGAGAAACCGGUAACAGGACAGUCAUGGGCACAAAGGCUUAAAGCACUUAUCAGUUCCUUAAAUGCUCUCCAACCCCCAGCCCUGGUGAAACCGAGUGGGGAAAAUGGGGGGAAAAGGAAAUGCAGAGUGUGGAAAGUGUUCUGCAAUUACGUACCUCAUUAUUGUAGUUCAACCCCCAAGAAGUUGUGAAUUUUUUAUUCAAAUCUGAAUGUGUAUUCUUCUAAGAAGGGGAAAUAAA